GGAUUGGCCAGUGAGAAAUGUUGCGUGAAGGUGAAGCGUCUGGGAAGGCGUACCGGAGUGGGUGAGAGUCCUGUAACUGUAAGCGUGGCACUGGUGUGGGGUUGCCCCGAGUAGCGUGGGACUCGUGGAAUUUCGCGUGAAUCUGGCGGGACCACCCGUCAAGCCUAAAUACUCCUUGGUGACCGAUAGUGGAUGAGUACCGUGAGGGAAGGGUGA
This 216-nucleotide ribosomal RNA is filed under the name Coscinodiscus wailesii. Its description in RNAcentral is "partial Bacterial large subunit ribosomal RNA". It matches the Rfam family "Bacterial large subunit ribosomal RNA", at positions 303 to 517 of the family's 2925-position model. Lineage: Eukaryota; Bacillariophyta; Coscinodiscophyceae; Coscinodiscales; Coscinodiscaceae. The record is from RNAcentral.